CCUACGGGAGGCUGCAGUGGGGAAUAUUGGACAAUGGGCGAAAGCCUGAUCCAGCCAUGCCGCGUGUGUGAAGAAGGCCUCGGGUUGUAAAGCACUUUCAGUGGGGAAGAAAGCCUUGGGGCUAAUACCCUCGAGGAAGGACAUCACCCACAGAAGAAGCACCGGCUAACUCCGUGCCAGCAGCCGCGGUAAUACGGAGGGUGCGAGCGUUAAUCGGAAUUACUGGGCGUAAAGCGCGCGUAGGCGGUCUGAUAAGCCGGUUGUGAAAGCCCCGGGCUCAACCUGGGAACGGCAUCCGGAACUGUCAGGCUAGAGUGCAGGAGAGGAAGGUAGAAUUCCCGGUGUAGCGGUGAAAUGCGUAGAGAUCGGGAGGAAUACCAGUGGCGAAGGCGGCCUUCUGGACUGACACUGACGCUGAGGUGCGAAAGCGUGGGUAGCAAACAGGAUUAGAUACCCGUGUAGUC
This 464-nucleotide ribosomal RNA is filed under the name Vreelandella stevensii. RNAcentral describes it as "partial 16S ribosomal RNA". It matches the Rfam family "Bacterial small subunit ribosomal RNA", at positions 338 to 795 of the family's 1533-position model. Lineage: Bacteria; Pseudomonadati; Pseudomonadota; Gammaproteobacteria; Oceanospirillales; Halomonadaceae. The record is from RNAcentral.